CUGGCAGGGAACCCUAUUGGUAAACACUGCAUGUCCGCGGCCUGCUCUGGGGUUACCUGGGAAGAGGAAGCACCGGAAAUGGCUGUCCAAGAAGCGCCCGUCCGGCUGUCCGGUGAACUGUCUGUUAUCAGAGAGAAACGCGUACUUUUUGAGGACUCCAGCCAGGGGAGCCGAUCAGUGCUGUGCUCAGCCAUCACCAGAGAAGCUUUCUUCUGCAGCAGAUGGAAACAAAUACAGAGACCCAUGGCCAGGAAUUAUGCAGAGACUUUGGGAAGACAUCCCUGGAUGUCUCCUGAGCACCUCCCUCCACUCCGGGGUCAGAGAGCUCCCCCCUCCUGGAAGAAGAUGCAAAGAGAGCAUAAGAGCCAGAGAGAAUAAAGGAUGCCAAGGAAACAAAGUCCUCCAAAUCGACAGGAAAAACGCACUUAUGAACUCACAGAAACCGAGGCAGCAUGGAUCUGUACCAGAUGGGGUCCUCGAGCUGGAGAAGCAGACACAUGGCCCCAUCCCUAACUCAGGAGCUAUGUCCAAUCGAUAACCACCUGCAAAUGAGACUUUAGUUUCCUCCAAGGGGGUGUCACUGAAAAACAAACCAUGCCCAGCAGCAGAUGGCCAACAAAAAAGGGAACUCAACAGCAACUGUGGUGACUUGAAUAGGGAUGGCCCCACAGACUCAACGCCUUUGUACCUUGGCUGAUAGGGAGUGGCACUAUUAGGAGGCGUGGUCUUGUCGGAGUAGGUGCGGCCUUACAGGAGGAAGUGCGUCACUGUGGGGGUGGGCUUUGAGGUUGGCCAUGCUUAAGCUUUGCCCAGCGUGAAACACCGUCUCUCCUUGUUGCCUGCCGUCUCAGCUCUGUCUGCAGCACCACGUCUGCCUGCACGCUGGCAUGCUUUCCGCCAUGAUGAUAAUGGACUGAACCUCUGAAACUGUAAGCCAGCCCCAACUAAAUAUGUUCCUUUGUAAGAGAUGCUGUGGUCAUGGUGUCUCUUUACAGCAAUGAGACACUAACUCAGACAACAUCUUUGGAGAUUUCUUGUCUUAUAGUGUUGGGUCAGGGCUCUUUCUUCCUUUCUUUUUUAGUUUUAUU
This 1088-nucleotide long non-coding RNA is filed under the name Meriones unguiculatus (Mongolian gerbil). RNAcentral describes it as "lncRNA (ENSMUGG00000026449.1)". The record is from RNAcentral. Lineage: Eukaryota; Metazoa; Chordata; Mammalia; Rodentia; Muridae.